Bactrocera oleae (olive fruit fly) is the source of this 5153-nucleotide long non-coding RNA. RefSeq lists it as uncharacterized. The record is from RefSeq and is a predicted model, not a curated record. Lineage: Eukaryota; Metazoa; Arthropoda; Insecta; Diptera; Tephritidae.
GGUUAAGUGUAGCAUAAUGUUAGGCGAAAGAAAAUUAUAAAAUUUGUAAUAAAAGAAACGUUACAGUACAUCAAUGUUAAACCGUUGACGUACGACACGGCGAAAUUUAGUCGUCAGUAGAUAUAAAUUACCAUCCUUAUUGCGGAAUGCUAGUGGAUUAUAAUUGCCCAUACUAUGCUUGCAUUAGAUGCUGAAGCAGGAUUGCUACUUAUGGAAGGUUACAGAAAUCGGUCACUUUGAAAAUACAGAUAACAACUUAACAUUUUUGGAAAGCAUUAUAAAUGUUCCUAAAUAAAUAAAAACUAAAGUAUACAUAUUUUCUUUAAAGAUAUUGAAUGUAUUAUAGUUGAAGUAAAAUAAAAUUCAGAAAAUAAUGUACACAACUCUUGAGCAGUUUCCUCAUUUUGACGCUUCUACUUACUAUAAUUUUAAUUUCCUGCGAUAGCUAAACCAUCUUCUCGCGCAAUGUUCAAUUUGGUAUCCUGUUUCCCAAUGGAGGCUGUACUCGCGUUAUUAUAGAUGCGUAAUAUGGGGGUAAACCACAAGUAUAAUUUACCUUGCUAUUCAAAAAAGUUUAUUUUAUGGUAAAGUAACUAUGAUUCAAUUCUCUUGAAGUCUUGGUUUAUGAUUUUUAUUGCUGCUACUACGAAAUAAUAGGUAGAUAAAAUAUAAAAACAGCUUUGUACCGUUUAGUGGGGUCUUUGUUGCAAUGUCUCAGAAAACUUACCACAGUUUAUGUUUUUUAACACCAUCCGAAAUUAAUGUUUUCAGUGAAGAAAAGCCAAAAUUUAACGUGAAAAUGUUCGAAUGUAUGUUCUUUUCCGAUAUUAAAUCAAAAUAAGGUGAAGAAAUCAAUAUUUCAAUUAAAAUAUAAAUUAUGUUUUUGUUCUUGCACUGGCUCGAUUUUCCCAUCUGUAAUAAAUAAAAAUAUUCAAAUUUCAAUUCAUAGAUAUGAGAGGCGUUACGACCCUUUUUUAAUACUGUCUUUCUUAGAGCUGGUUGUAUAUUGCGUCAUAAUUUGGGAGCAACCAGUUUGAAACUGUGUAAUUUUAACAGCUUCUGAUCACGCCCUAUCCGGCUUAAACUUAAAAUUAUAUUUUGAAUUUAUUAUUGGAAAUUUUAUACAAUAUCUAUGUCAAUAUAAUAAUAAUCAUUAAACAAAAAUUUGUGUAAGCAAAUCAUUGAUAUGUAGCGCAUAAAUUGAUUACAUUGGAUUGAUGAUAUUUUCAUUCAAUUACUCCAUCAAGUUAUCUCUUUCGUUUCUUAAGUUUUACAAGCAGGUAACUUACUUAAUAUUCUGUUAACAAUAUUUUAAGGUACUAAUCGCUUAACAUUAGUAAAUAUUUAUUUAGCUUAAAACCGUUAAAACUAUUCAUAGAAUUAUGGUAAUUACUAACUACAAUAUAUUUGAGCAGUUUGCCUUAGACAGACAGGAAGCACACAAAAUAUAACAUUCAAAAGAAAGCGAGAGAGAAAGAGUUAAUUAAAGAAAAAAAUUGUACAUAUGUACAUACAGAUAUACAGAAUUACCCCGAACACUUAAUGAAAAUAAUUGAUAAUGGUGUGAAUAAUAAAUAUUCACAAACGAAAUAUUAGUAUAUGUAACAAAGUAGUAGUUCAAUGGCACCAGAAUUGAAAUUCAUUAAUUUUAUUAUGUAAUAAUAUUUCUUCAUUCCAUAAGGGAUUCCCUGCUUUAAUUAAACAUACCGUCUGUUAGUUCCAGCCUAUUUAAUGCAGACCUAAAAAGGUGCUAACAACCACUUAUAUAAUUAAUUUUUCCAUGAUUUUAUUUAACUUCUUGGUCUAUUACUCUACCUUUUACAUCAAACGGCUGACAAUAAUUUGUCAAUGGACUCUCUCAAGAAAUGAAAACUAGUUACCUGCUGUCUUCAAUGUGCUUAAUACUUAAGUUCUCAUUUUACGAUCUUCGCUUGUGUCUUUAAUGCUUCAAUUAGUGAACGACUCAAAAGCGUAUACUGUUUCACUUGAUUCAACCUAUCUUAUGAGAGCGUAAUGUAAAUGAACAAUCACCACCACUUCUACCGUCCGUAACGUGGGAUAUCCACGAAAAUUGGAUUUAUCCCGUGGAAACGAGUCAGCUGAUAGCUCUCUUACAGCGCCAGUCUCGAUAUUUUGUAAUAAUUAAAAAUUAAACUUGAAUAUAUUUUAAAUAUAUUAAACCAUCUCAAAAUCACAGGUCGAAUACAAUAAUUUAUAAAUUGGCAGACUAUAUAGUUGAAUUUUAGUUUUGAUCUUUUAUAUUAUGAAAAAUUAUAUCUGAAAAGUUAGAUGUGUGCAAAACUGUAUAUAAAAAUUGAGAAACAGCAACGAAACAAACAACAAAUAUUAAAUUUUCUAUAACGCACUCAAAAAGCAUAAUUACCAAUAAAAAAAAAAUGUUGACUUUGAGUCACAAUAGUAACGAAAUUUAUUUGAAAUUGAUUUUAUUUUAACUUUUACGUAUUUGAGUUGCUUACAAAACAUAAAAAAUCGAUAAUCGAUUAAUAUCUAUGAUGAUCUAUAUAAGUGAAAUGUCAGUAUAUUCAAAAUGGAAAACAAGAAUUCUUAUUAGUUUUGUGACCUGCUUACUAUGAGAUGACAAAUUUUAGACAGUAUUUUCUGACUGCAUCGUAAAUAGUAACUUGUCACAAAUUGCGAUUUUACUUUAAAAUGUCUCAAAUAGGGACUUAGAGACUGCUUCAGUGAGGUGUAUUGUGGGAUAACCUCUUUAAUAUUGAACCCUUUUUAAAAUAACAUUGUCUGCAAUUUUUAACAGACCUCAAUGCAACAAACCUAGUUGAAUAUGAGUAUGGUCAUUUUUGGUCAUAACAAUCUUGCAAUCUUUUCUAAACCGACGACGUGGCAUUUCGGGAGCUAUCAAUAGUUAAACUAGAAGCACGCAAACUCAGGGAUGCCAAAGAUAAAUUACUCCGGUACAAUGGUUUUGGUGAUGAAUUUGUGGUCAAUAGCAAAGCGGUGCUGUCAACAUUUGGCGCAGCACUGGUCAAGCCGUUACAGAUGAUCGUCUUUUCAUUGGAAUUAUAUACAACUCUACCGUUCGCUGCGCAAAGUGGCGGCAUAAUAUCACCCGUAUCGAUUGUCAGUAAACCGUCAGCAGCAGUAUCAUUGAUAUUUAAGCUGUUGGUGGGUCCACUGCCUCCACCAGGACCACAACUGCUUUCAUUACCACAAAGAUGAAGUCGAGAGCUCAAUAGUUUAUUACAUGCUGGACAAGCACGAGAGGCGCCCUUCUCUCGCCGUCGCAAAAGAUCAUGAGCGCAGCUAUAUUUAUAUAAAGGAAAGUAACUAAAAUAAAUAUAUAUAUUUCGCAAGAGUGAUAGAAUAUAAAAUUGCACUUUCCACAGGUAAUCAAUACAGUUUUUAUACCGAACGAACACUAAUCGGAACAAACAUGUAAUAUGUUAAUAAGUGCUUUGUAAUAACAUGCCCGCCUCUUUAAAGGAGUCAAGCCAUCCGCAAUAAAUAGAGGAAAUACAAAUAAAACAUUUAAGCAGAUUUGUGAUAGGGUCAAGGCGCUUUGCCGAUAACUGAUAUCCAACUACAGAAGUUUUUAAUCUGGCGUUACAAAGCACUGUAUAUAAUAGCCAUCUAACCUAACCUCACCUCUGACCAUCAGGAUGACGAUACGAGUUUAAAUCAGUGUGACUGUUUGUCCGACGCGAUAACUUGAGUAAAAAUUAAGAUAUCUGGAAACUUGCUACAACUAUUCAUUGGCAUCCGAGGAACGUCGGUAUUGCAUGUGGUACGUAAUCGGACCACUGUUGCGCCCACAAAAAGCCAUUAAACGAAAAAUUAUUAAGUGCCAUAACUAAGCACUUAAUUAAGAUACAUAACUGUUAUUUGGUACAGGGAUCGAAAUAGUUUAAUGUACACAUCUUCCAAACCAGGAACUCCAAACUUGUUGAAAAUACAAGUAAGUUGUUUUAGAACCUCUUUGUAUGUUGUGAAAAUGGGUGAAAUCAGAAAAUAUCACUCCCCAUAUAAUGGUUAUGUUGAAAAUUAAUAAAAGUGCGACAACAGAGCGUAUAAACGCGCCACAAUCAUUAAAUUUCACAACCACAAUGCAGGGGAAGAGCUUUAUAAGAGCAGGUGUAAAAAUUCGACAAUGAGCGUGGCACCGCUCACCUUUACGUAAAUCCUAUAUCCCAGGGACUAUAUUUGGUGUGUGAAAUUGCCCAUUUCUUUCACACACUGUGAAAUUAGGCGAAAUCGGAUGACAACCACGCCUAACCUAACAACCUUCUGAACUCAAUCUUAUUCUUUCACUUUUCAGUAUAAAUAUGUAUCAGACAUCAAUAAAGUUAUCAGAGUAAAACUUUGCACAAAUUGUACUGUCAAGGUGUUUAAUCUUAUGUCUAAAUAUCGGGCUAUAACACAGACACCAAAUAAGUGGACCCAAUGUAUAUGACUGAUUUUUUACCGAACUUAGCGGUCAGUCUGUGAGUUCUAGUAUUGAAAUUCGAGGAGAAUAUUUGUGUGAUGACAGCAUACCCUUGUGCCAAAAAUGGGUACAAUCGAGUAAAUACUUCCCUUAGCACAUACCUAAUAUAAAUAUUUCGAACUUCCGGUUUAUUUUAUACCGCAACUAUCGGUCAAGAAAUCUCUAUGAAAUUCAGAAAUAAUCUCUUUCUAAUAACAGUUUAUCUUCUCGCCGGUGAUUGUAAAUAAUGGAGGCAAUACUUCCUACUUUUAAUUAAAACAUAUUCUAAAAUUCCAUGCAAGAGUAUAAAAUUUUCGGUUACACCCGAUACCCUUCCUUACUUGUUUUUUAUUAUAAUUUGUAUGCAGUGUCUACUCAUAUAUGAUCAGCUCAGUGUUUUUCGCUUAUUAACAAUAGUGUGCAAAAAAUAUGAUUCCUUGGGUUGAACGUAGUCACCAUUCCGCUGUAGUAAUGACGUUGCACCUCUUCACUUUAGUGAAAAAGGUGUUAAAACUGGGACAAAAAUGUACCAACAGGAUCCAAUAUUAUCUUCGAUGGAGAGCAUUAUCCAACAGAAUAUAUGGCAGGACUAGGUUGUAUACUUUUUACCGCAGCAAAAUAAGAAAAUUAUAUUAAAAUCUAGUUAAAUCUGAUUGCUUUGUGUUACCACGCAGCUGCUGCCACAUUCAUGGUUGUAAUCAAAGUUAUUAUC